CGGCAGCACGGGUGCUUGCACCUGGUGGCGAGUGGCGAACGGGUGAGUAAUACAUCGGAACGUACCUUGUAGUGGGGGAUAGCUCGGCGAAAGCCGGAUUAAUACCGCAUACGCUCUGAGGAGGAAAGCGGGGGACCUUCGGGCCUCGCGCUACAAGAGCGGCCGAUGUCAGAUUAGCUAGUUGGUGAGGUAAAAGCUCACCAAGGCGACGAUCUGUAGCUGGUCUGAGAGGACGACCAGCCACACUGGGACUGAGACACGGCCCAGACUCCUACGGGAGGCAGCAGUGGGGAAUUUUGGACAAUGGGCGAAAGCCUGAUCCAGCAAUGCCGCGUGUGUGAAGAAGGCCUUCGGGUUGUAAAGCACUUUUGUCCGGAAAGAAAUCCUCUGGGUUAAUACCUCGGGGGGAUGACGGUACCGGAAGAAUAAGCACCGGCUAACUACGUGCCAGCAGCCGCGGUAAUACGUAGGGUGCAAGCGUUAAUCGGAAUUACUGGGCGUAAAGCGUGCGCAGGCGGUUUUGUAAGACGGAUGUGAAAUCCCCGGGCUUAACCUGGGAACUGCAUUCGUGA
This 572-nucleotide ribosomal RNA is filed under the name Pandoraea sp. HPC336. Its description in RNAcentral is "bacterial SSU rRNA". It matches the Rfam family "Bacterial small subunit ribosomal RNA", at positions 67 to 632 of the family's 1533-position model. Lineage: Bacteria; Pseudomonadati; Pseudomonadota; Betaproteobacteria; Burkholderiales; Burkholderiaceae. The record is from RNAcentral.